Molecule: ribosomal RNA, 253 nt
Filed under: uncultured bacterium
Lineage: Bacteria
Description: partial 16S ribosomal RNA
Rfam family: Bacterial small subunit ribosomal RNA
Source: RNAcentral
GACGAACCGAGCGAACGUUGUUCGGAAUUACUGGGCUUAAAGGGCGCGUAGGCGGGCGGCCGCGUCCGGGGUGAAAUCCCGCAGCUCAACUGCGGGACGGCCUCGGGUACGGGUCGUCUGGAGGGGGGUAGGGGCCCGCGGAACUGUGCGUGGAGCGGUGAAAUGCGUUGAUAUGCACAGGAACUCCGGUGGCGAAGGCGGCGGGCUGGACCCUUACUGACGCUGAGGCGCGAAAGCCAGGGGAGCGAACGGG